UUAUGGCCAUAUCACGUUGAAACACCAAUUCCCAUCUGAUCACCAAAGUUAAACAAUGUUGAUCCUGGUUGGUACUUAGAUGGGUGACUACUUGGGAAUACCAGGU
Non-coding RNA from Acanthosepion pharaonis, 106 nucleotides. NCBI's taxonomy places the organism in Eukaryota, Metazoa, Mollusca, Cephalopoda, Sepiida, Sepiidae. The record is from the annotation of a GenBank genome assembly.